GGUUUCGUAGUGUAGUGGUUAGCACUCCAGACUUUGAAUCUGGCGACCUGGGUUCAAAUCCUGGCGAGACCU
This 72-nucleotide transfer RNA is filed under the name Triticum dicoccoides. RNAcentral describes it as "tRNA tRNA-Gln". It matches the Rfam family "tRNA". Rfam says of the family: Transfer RNA (tRNA) molecules are approximately 80 nucleotides in length. Their secondary structure includes four short double-helical elements and three loops (D, anti-codon, and T loops). The record is from RNAcentral. Lineage: Eukaryota; Viridiplantae; Streptophyta; Magnoliopsida; Poales; Poaceae.